AGGAAUAUUGGUCAAUGGGCGAGAGCCUGAACCAGCCAAGUAGCGUGAAGGAUGAAGGUCCUACGGAUUGUAAACUUCUUUUAUACGGGAAUAAAGUUUCCUACGUGUAGGAUUUUGUAUGUACCGUAUGAAUAAGCAUCGGCUAACUCCGUGCCAGCAGCCGCGGUAAUACGGAGGAUGCGAGCGUUAUCCGGAUUUAUUGGGUUUAAAGGGAGCGCAGACGGCCUUUUAAGUCAGUUGUGAAAGUUUGCGGCUCAACCGUAAAAUUGCAGUUGAUACUGGUUUCCUUGAGUGCAGUUGAGGCAGGCGGAAUUCGUGGUGUAGCGGUGAAAUGCUUAGAUAUCACGAAGAACCCCGAUUGCGAAGGCAGCUUGCUAAACUGUAACUGACGUUCAUGCUCGAAAGUGUGGGUAUCAAACAGGAUUAGAUACCCUGGUAGUCCACACGGUAAACGAUGGAUACUCGCUGUUGGCGAUAUACUGUCAGCGGCCAAGCGAAAGCAUUAAGUAUCCCACCUGGGGAGUACGCCGGCAACGGUGAAACUCAAAGGAAUUGACGGGGGCCCGCACAAGCGGAGGAACAUGUGGUUUAAUUCGAUGAUACGCGAGGAACCUUACCCGGGCUUAAAUUGCAGACGAAUUACGAGGAAACUUGUAAGCCGCAAGGCGUCUGUGAAGGUGCUGCAUGGUUGUCGUCAGCUCGUGCCGUGAGGUGUCGGCUUAAGUGCCAUAACGAGCGCAACCCUCGUGGUCAGUUACUAACAGGUAACGCUGAGGACUCUGGCCAGACUGCCAUCGUAAGAUGUGAGGAAGGUGGGGAUGACGUCAAAUCAGCACGGCCCUUACGUCCGGGGCUACACACGUGUUACAAUGGGAGGUACAGAAGGCAGCUACCCGGCGACGGGAUGCCAAUCCCCAAAACCUCUCUCAGUUCGGACUGGAGUCUGCAACCCGACUCCACGAAGCUGGAUUCGCUAGUAAUCGCGCAUCAGCCACGGCGCGGUGAAUACGUUCCCG
Molecule: ribosomal RNA, 1016 nt
Filed under: uncultured bacterium
Lineage: Bacteria
Description: bacterial SSU rRNA
Rfam family: Bacterial small subunit ribosomal RNA
Source: RNAcentral